RNAcentral lists this long non-coding RNA (545 nucleotides) under Bos taurus (domestic cattle). Its description in RNAcentral is "long non-coding RNA NONBTAT010993". The record is from RNAcentral. Lineage: Eukaryota; Metazoa; Chordata; Mammalia; Artiodactyla; Bovidae.
CCACUUCUGUAAAAAUCAUAGACUAAACUGAUUCAUCCUUGAAAUGGACAGCAUGCCUUUGGAUGGAAAGGAAUUGGAAUCUGGUAAGACAUUGACUCAUUCAGAAAUUCAGUGCCAUCCCUGCAACUUAGAAGUGUCAGCAUGCUAACGUCACAGGCUCAGGGAAGCAGUGAGCCAGGAGCCAGGAGCAGACUCUUAUUACCAAUGGGGGAGUAUAUUGAACUUUUAUAAUUGGUAGAAUCUCAUACUAGAUGUAGAAAUACCCUUUAAAAAAUCAUAUGGCCAGUCCUGAAUAGCGUUAAAUAUUUUUCAUAGCUCUGUUUAAGGUGCAAGUAGAUUUACAUUCUGUAAAAUCACACAUGUAAUAUUUAUUACACUCUUUCAUCCUCUGUCAUAAAGUUUCUUGAAUAAUUGAGAUCUCUAUUUGAACUUGGCCUGACUCCCUAGGUGCUCUAACUUCCAUUGUUUUCCCACAAACCACACCCUCUUAUUUUGGGUUUAUGAUUUAAGAAGUUUGGAAUCCAGGUUUAAGAUCGAGUUCAAUC